Molecule: long non-coding RNA, 4248 nt
Filed under: Mytilus galloprovincialis (Mediterranean mussel)
Lineage: Eukaryota; Metazoa; Mollusca; Bivalvia; Mytilida; Mytilidae
Source: RNAcentral
GGCGAGUUUUGUGAAAAUAAUUGUAUAAUGUUGGAGAUUAAAUGUUAGUUACGUAAGCGCAUCACUGUUUUUAUAUCCUGUGGUUUUUGUCGUUGAUGGAAUAUGUUCUUUGUUGUUAUGAAGUUUGCAUGUUGUGUCGACUUUUAUAUUAUUUGUUGGUCACCGAACGGUCUUUGAUAUUGCUAUUAUCUUGUCAUGUUUAGUUGGAGAGAGGUUUUCGUAGUAUCAGUAUUGUUAUUAUUUUUUCAUGUUUUGUGGCGGAGAGCUUUGUAGACGAAAGGUGCGUCUGGCGUAAAUAUUAAAUUUUAUUCCUGGUAUCUAUGAUGAGUUUAUUCGUAGUAUAAUUAUUGUAAUUCUUUUGUUAUGUUUUGUUCGAGAGAAGUCUUCGUAGUAUAAAAAUUGUAAUUCUUAUGUCAUGUUUUAUGGGAGAGAAGUCUCCUUAGUAUCAAUAUUGUAGUUCUUUUGUCAUGUUUUGUGGGAGAGAAGUCAUCGUAGUAUAAAAAAUGUAAUUAUUUUGUCAUGUUUUGUGGGAGACAAGUCUUCUUAGUAUCAGUAUUAUAAUUCUUUUGUCGUGUUUUGUGGGAGAGAAGCCAUCGUUGUAUCAGUAUUGUAAUUCUUUUGUCAUGUUUUGUGGGAGAGAAGUCGUCGUAGUAUAAAAAGUGUAAUUCUUAUGUCAUGUUUUGUGGGAGAGAAGUCUUUAAGUAUAAUAUUGGAUUUUUUGUCAUGUUUUAUUGGAGACAAAUCUUCGUAGUAUCAAUAUUAUAAUUCUUUUGUCAUGUUUUGUAGGAGAGACGUCUUCGAAGUAUCAGUAUUGUAAUUAUUUGGUCGUUUUUUGUAGGAGAGAAGUCUUCUUAGUAUCAGUAUUUGUAAUCUUUUGUCAUGUUUUGUAGGAGAGAAGUCUUCGUAGUAUCAGUAUUGUAAUUCUUUUGUCAUGUUUUGUGGGAGCGAAGUCUUCUUAGUAUCAGUAUUGUAAUCCUUUGUCGUUUUUUGUAGGAGAGAAGUCUUCUUAGUAUCAGUAUUGUAAUUCUUUUGUCAUGUUUUGUAGGAGAGAAGUCUUCUUCAGUAGUAAUUCUUAAUGGGAGAGAAGUUCUUUAUAUCUAUUGUAGUUCUGUUGUCGUGUAGGAGAGAAGUCUUCUUAGAUCAGUAUUGUAAUUCUUUUGUCAGUUUUGUAGGAGAGAAGUCUUCGUAGUAUCAGUAUUGUAAUUCUUUGUCUUUUGUGAGAGAAGUUUUAGUAUCAUAUUGUAAUUCUUUGUGUCAUGUUUUGUAGGAGAGAAGUCUUCGUAGUUAUCUAUUAUAAUUCUUUUGUCAUGUUUUUGUGGGAGCGAGUCCUCUUAGAAGUAUUGUAUUCUUUUGUUGUUUGUAGGAGAGAAUCUCGUAGUAUCAGUAUUGUAAUUCUUAUGUCAUGUUUUAUGGGAGAGAAGUCUCCUUAGUAUCAAUAUUGUAGUUCUUUUGUCGUUUUUUGUAGGAGAGAAGUCUUCUUAGUAUCAGUAUUGUAAUUCUUUUGUCAUGUUUUGUGGGAGAGAAGUCUUCGUAGUAUCAGUAUUGUAGUUCUUUUGUCAUGUUUUGUGGGAGAGAAGUCAUCGUAGUAUAAAAAUUGUAAUUAUUUUGUCAUGUUUUGUGGAGACAAGUCUUUUUAGUAUCAGUAUUGUAAUUCUUUUGUCGUGUUUUGUAGGAGAGAAGCCAUCGUAGUAUAAAAAGUGUACUUCUUAUGUCAUGUUUUGUGGGAGAGAAGUCUUUUAGUAUCAAUAUUGAAUUCUUUUGUCUGUUUUUUUGGAGACAAAUCUUCGUAGUUUGCAAUAUAUAAUUCUUUUGUUGCUUUGUAGAAGAGUCUUGAAUAUAUAAGUAUUCUUGUCGUCUUUUGUAGGAGAGAAGUCUUCUUAGUAUCAGUAUUGUAAUUCUUUUGUCAUGUUUUGUGGGAGAGAAGUCUCCUUAGUAUCAAUAUUGUAGUUUUUUUGUCAUGUUUUGUGGGAGAGAAGUCAUCGUAGUAUAAAAAUUGUAAUUAUUUUGUCAUGUUUGUGGAGACAAGUCUUCUUAGUAUCAGUAUUGUAAUUCUUUUGUCGUUUUUUGUGGGAGAGAAGCCAUCGUUGUAACAGUAUUGCAAUUCUUUUGUCAUGUUUUGUGGGAGAGAAGUCGUCGUAGUAUAAAAAGUGUAAUUCUUAUGUCAUGUUUUGUGGGAGAGAAGUCUUUUUAGUAUCAAUAUUAUAAUUCUUUUGUCAUGUUUUAUUGGAGACAAAUUUUCGUAGUAUCAAUAUUAUAAUUAUUUUGUCAUGUUUUGUAGGAGAGAAGUCUUCGAAGUAUCAGUAUUGUAAUUCUUUUGUCGUUUUUUGUAGGAGAUAAGUCUUCUUAGUAUCAGUAUUGUAAUUCUUUUGUCAUGUUUUGUAGGAGAGAAGUCGUCGUAGUAUCAGUAUUGUAAUUCUUUUGUCAAGUUUUGUAGGAGAGAAGCCAUCGUAGUAUCAGUAUUGUAAUUCUUUUGUCAUGUUUUGUGGGAGCGAAGUCUUCGUAGUAUCAAUAUUAUAAUUCUUUUGUCAUGUUUUGUAGGAGAGAAGUCUUCUUAGUAUCAGUAUUAUAAUUCUUUUGUCAUGUUUUGUAGGAGAGAAGUCUUCGAAGUAUCAGUAUUGUAGUUCUUUUGUCGUUUUUUGUAGGAGAGAAGCCAUCGUAGUAUCAGUAUUGUAAUUCUUUUGUCAUGUUUUGUGGGAGCGAAGUCUUCGUAGUAUGAAUAUUAUAAUUCUUUUGUCAUGUUUUGUAGGAGAGAAGUCGUCGUAGUAUCAGUAUUAUAAUUCUUUUGUCAUGUUUUGUAGGAGAGAAGUCUUCGUAGUAUCAGUAUUGUAAUUCUUUUGUCAUGUUUUAUGGGAGAGAAGUCUCCUUAGUAUCAAUAUUGUAGUUCUUUUGUCGUUUUUUGUAGGAGCGAAGUCUUCGUAGUAUCAAUAUUAUAAUUCUUUUGUCAUGUUUUGUAGGAGAGAAGUCUUCGUAGUAUAAAUAUUGUAGUUCUUUUGUCAUGUUUUGUGGGAGCGAAGUCUUCGUAGUAUGAAUAUUAUAAUUCUUUUGUCAUGUUUUGUGGGAGAGAAGUCCUCGUAGUAUCAGUAUUAUAAUUCUUUUGUCAUGUUUUGUAGGAGAGAAGUCUUCGUAGUAUCAGUAUUGUAAUUCUUUUGUCAUGUUUUAUGGGAGAGAAGUCUCCUUAGUAUCAAUAUUGUAGUUCUUUUGUCGUUUUUUGUAGGAGGAAGUCUUCGUAGUAUCAAUAUAUAAUUCUUUUGUCAUGUUUUGGAGAGAAGUUCAGUAUGUUUUGUCAGUCUUUCGUAUAUGAAUAUUAAUUCUUUGUCAUGUUUUGUAGGAGAGAAGUCGUCGUAGUAUCAGUAUUGUAAUUCUUUUGUCAUGUUUUGUGGGAGCGAAGUCUUCGUAGUAUGAAUAUUAUAAUUCUUUUUGUCAUGUGAGAGGAACUCGUCGUAUACAGUAUUGUAUUCUUUUGUCAGGUUUUGGGAGCGAAGUCUUCGUAGUAUGAAUAUUAUAAGUUCGUUUUUGUGUCUUUUGUGUUUUGUUGGAGCGAAGUCUUCGAGUAUGAAUAUUUAUAAUUUCUUUGUCAUUUUUGUGGGAGCGAAGUCUUCGUGAGUAUCUUUAGUAUUGUAAUCGUUGUCAUGUUUUGUGGGACGAAGUCUUCGUAGUAUCAAUAUUAUAAUUCUUUGUCAGUUUUGUAGGAGAGAAGUCUUCGUAGUAUGAAUAUAAUCUUUUGUCAUGUUUGUGGGAGCGAAGUCUUCGUAGUAUGAAUAUUAUAAUUCUUUUGUCAUGUUUUGUGGGAGCGAAGUCUUCGUAGUAUCAAUAUUAUAAUUCUUUUGUCAUGUCUUGUGGGAGAGAAGUCUCCUUAGUAUCAGUAUUGUAAUUCUUUUGUCAUGUCUUGUGGGAGAGAGAUCUUCGUUGUAUCAGUAUUGUAAUUAUUUUGUCAUGUUUUGUAGGAAAGAAGUCUUCGUAGUAUCAGUAUUGUAAUUCUUUUGUCAUGUUUUGUGGGAGAAAAGUCUUCGUAGUAUCAGUAUUAUAAUUCUUUUGUCAUGUUUUGUGGGAGAGAAGUCUCCUUAGUAUCAGUAUUGUAAUUCUUUUGUCAUGUCUUGUGGGAGAGAGAUCUUCGUUGUAUCUAUAUUGCAAUUCUAUUUCUAUUGUCAUUUGUGACGACGGGUGCCACAUGUGGAGCAGGAUGCUUACCCUUCCGGAGCACAUGAAAUUACCCCUCGUUUUGGUGGGGUUUGUGUUGCUUAUUUUUUA